Long non-coding RNA from Triticum aestivum (bread wheat), 1007 nucleotides. RefSeq lists it as uncharacterized. The transcript has 5 exons. The record is from RefSeq and is a predicted model, not a curated record. NCBI's taxonomy places the organism in Eukaryota, Viridiplantae, Streptophyta, Magnoliopsida, Poales, Poaceae.
GCUGAUUCCUCGACCUUCCUCUCCGCCGCUUUCUCGAUCUGCCUCGGCGCCGUUUGGAUCGUUCCGGCAACGGCUUCGUUGGUCUUCAGCACCGGCACCUACAUCCUAAGGACUACGAUCUCGUGGCUGGUUUCAUCGGUUCUGGGCACCAAAUUGCCGAGGGGACUUCCACAACUUGUAUUGCUUGAUUUCCCUGUCUGUGACUACAAUCUUGUCCUAGGUUGGCGACCAUGAUGUCAACCAUUUACAAAUUCAACAGAAUUCAUCAUCACCACAAGACCUUGUUAAUGAUUCUAUGCCAAGGGUGAGGGAAACCAGGGAUCUUACGAGUGAAUCUGUUUCAAGACCGAACAGCAGCGGACUAGAACUGAACACCCACACCUAGCUCGCUCAAAAAGAAUAUGUACUUCUUCCAUCAAGGCUGCUUCCAAAGUAGUUUCAAAGACUUCAACAUAUCCCAACAAGCGGAAUGUUGCAUAUGGUACUAUUCGGAGUAUUGAUCCAAGAACUAAGGCUGGUGGUAUUGAGUUAGGUGCUGAAUUUGCCCUUGUGCAUAGAUCAACCUAUUCUUGAUAAUGAGGACUUGGUAAGGGAAGUUUCUGAUUGCAAGACACUUGGUGAGGCUUUCACUUCAAGAUACUUAAUUGCCUGGUCUUCAGCUUUUCUAAGUUAAAAACAUCUCUUCCACAUUCUGAAAAAUCAUAUUUGUGUACAUUUAAUCACAUAUAUCUAAGGUGCAAAUUUCUUUUACAGAUUCGAGAGAAGGAUACUUGAGUUGCAGCUGAAUUCUUGGAUCAAGAAGCAAAUAAAAUUUGAAGAUUUUAGCUACCAAUAGUUGUAGUUUACAUUGAUAGAUUUAAAAAUGGAAUAUCAUCCAGACAAUCUUUUUCUUUCGUCGAAUUGAUGCAAAUGCUAUGGUGUAAUAUUCUCCAUAGUUGCGUUCUCUAUGCUCAAAAUGAUAUGACUGAUAUCUUUAUUGUAAUGCAUAUGUCUCAUACACUCUUGUA